This 27-nucleotide non-coding RNA is filed under the name Homo sapiens (human). Lineage: Eukaryota; Metazoa; Chordata; Mammalia; Primates; Hominidae. The record is from RNAcentral.
UGGUCAGGUGCUAGAUGGAGUCUUAGC